AGUUGUAAACUGGCAGCAGGGAGACUUCUACAUAUGGAGCUUCUGCAGACCAGAGAAUGGGGCCUGGUGUCUGUUGUUUCCAGAUCCUUCUGGCAAGUACCGGCAGACGUUGAGAAAUGUCAGGAUCGGAUGGAGUGUUUCAACGCUGACCUGAAAGCUGACAUGGAGAGGUGGCAGAACAACAAGAGGCAGGACUUCCGGCAGCUACUCAUGGGGAUGGCUGACAAGAACAUCCAGUAUUAUGAGAAGGCCCAAUUUACCCUCAAUUUACCCUCUUCUACAUCUUCCACAUCUGCACCAAUCUGGGGAGAUGAAGAAGCUUCCUAGUGUAGUAGCCAUCAUGAUUGGCAGGCAGACUGACAGCCAGCCGAGGCUGGAGUGCAGUGGCAUGAUCUCAGCUCACUGCAACCUCUGCCUCCCAGGCUCAAGCAGUCCCCCCUGCCUCAGUCUCCGGAGUAGCUGGGACUAUAGGUGAUCCUGCUGCUGCUGGCCCAAGAACCACUGGGUUAGUACAUCUGUUAGAAGAAAUGGUGACCCUGGGAAAGCUGACAGGGUUUGAAACUCCUACCCUGGUGACAGCUGGAGUUGAAAAGGAGCCAAUACUUGGGCUUUGAGAGCUCAGCUCAGGUUAAAAAAAACACAAGUUUGUAGCAGGGUCAGUGUGGACAAGGAAGGACAUUUCUCUAAACAGUAAGAGGCUUUUCAGGAGUAGGAAGGAUUAGAUUCAUUCAGGCUGAGGAGCUGGUCCAGAGGCUGGACCAGAAGGUAAGGAGUUGGGGAAUGAGCAUAUUGAUGAGUAAGGUUAGAGAGGUCGAACAUGAUCUUGACCUCAUCUUUCCCAUCCUGUCUGCUCUGCUCAUGUUGCCAGACUCUGUGAGGGGGGGGCGCUACCUUUUUCCCAGUGACCUGAGCCCCAAAUCUGAGUCAUUCUGGCCUCCCUCUAUCUCACCCUCUACCAUCCAUCCAUUAACCAACUCCUAUAGCCUCUAACUCCCAAAUAUUUUUCCAUAUCCAUCUACUUUUCUCCAUGCUUGUAGCUUCCUACCCUACGUCUGCUAUUAUUUUUUUACUUUAAUUUUUUUUUAAGAGACAAUCUUGCUCUCUCACCCAGGCAGGGGUAUAGUGGCCCAGUCAUAGCCCACUGCAGCCUUGAACUCGGGCUCAAGCGAUCCUGUCGUUUUAGCCUCCUGAGUCGCUGGGAUUAUAGGUGCACAGCACCAUACCCAGGUAAUUUUAAUUUUUUUUGUAGAGAUGGUGGUCUCGCUAUUUGCUCAGGCUAGUGCUGGAUUCCUGGCCUCAAGUGAACUUCCCAGCUUGGCCUCGCAGAGUGCUGGGACUAUAGGCCUGAGCCACCAAGGCUGGCCAGUCAGUCUGCCAUUAUCCUUCACCUGGUUUACUGCAAGGGCUUCACAGCUCAUCUUUCUUCAAGCUUGCUCACUCCUUCCACCAAUUCAUUGUCCUCAAUGUUGCCAGGGAGCUGUUUCUAAGAUACAAAUUUAAGCACUCUGUGUUCCUGCUUAACACCUUCCAACAGCUAUCCCCAUUUACUCUGAAGAGAAACAUCUUUUUCUUUUGAAAGGAUAUUUUAUGUUAUUCCUCCUUACCACCCCAGUCUCAUCUUACUGUCCUCCAUAAUACUUGUCCUUCCGUCUGCUCCCUUCACACUGAAUUCCUAAAUCUUUGAUAUAUUUUCACCUUCAGGCCUUCCAGCAUGGUGUUCCUUCUGCCUGGAAUGUCCCCCAACAUCUGGCCUUAGUAACUCUUACUUACCCUUCCAGCCUUAUCAUAGUAGUCACUUCUGGGAUGCCCUCCCUGCUCUCCCAAAUCUGGAUUCUAUGCUCCCUUAUAUUAGUGAGGUUGGAGAGGGUGAACGUGAUCUUGAACUUCUUGAACUCAUCUUUCCCAUCCCAUCUGCCCUGCUCAUGUGGCCUGACUCAGUGCAAGGGUGCUAGCUCCUUCCCAGUGGAAGGAGACAUCCCUAUCUUCUGUUCUGUCUGCUUCACCUGUUAGACGGUACGCUCUGCUAGGGCAGACACAGUCACGUGCUAUUCUUUCUGUAUCUCAGCACCUAGCAUGGGGCUUGGACCUUAUUAGGUGUGUCAUAGAAUUUUGUUCAUUCCCUGCAAGAGGAUUAGAGAUACAAACUCUCUGAGCCCAAAUACCCUGAGAUUUAAAUGUAUUCUCUAGCCUUGUGUUUUACCCUGUAUAAGAACAUCAAGUCUGUAGUCAUAGAAUCUGACCUGGGAAAGAACGAUUCACACACUCAUACAAUGAAUGUUGAUUUUAUUAGGUGAGUCUGCUUUUAUAAAUCCAAGUAAACGAGGUUAUAAAAAUGAGUACCUCAAAUAAAAUAGCUCUUAAUGUACCUCCUCUUCCUUCACACCACCCACUUUGGGAAGCACUGUUGACUGGAAGUACUCAAUUGAACAUCCCAUUGAAGAAAGCCUUGUGACAUUUGCUUCUUAAAAGCAACAGUAGUAACAAAACUACCCAGAAGACAAGGGCCUGAGCUCCAUCCCCCUCCUGAGUGUCUGUAGGUAAGGAAGACUCAGGAAAGAAAGCUGACUUUUUUCAAGGUUUUAUUUUAAUUUAAAAGAUAUUGUUCGUGCAAAACUGUUGGUAGUUCUCACGAAACAUCCCUUCCACAUUCCCCUCAGGCUAUGAUAAUGCACACUUUGAGUUCUCCCAUGGGACUUUCAGCACAGCACCCAGGUGACUAGUUAGCUAUACCUUGGAGCCCUCAAGACAAUCCCUUGAACAAAAGGGGCAGGCUCGCUGUAGCUGGAGUCUGAAGCCCCUCACAGGGCCUGGGACCGCUGUGUGCAGCCUGCCUAUAACCUUUAAGUUCAUGCUCUGCUGUCACAGAACCCAGUCUCUGCCUAAUAGGGGUGUCUUAAAGCUGAGACACCCCUAUUAGGGGUUUCCAUCACCAGGAAAGUGCUUUUCCCCAUCCACCAGGGAUCCCUGAGCCAGAGCAGGUCAUUCUGAGGCCAACUCUGGCUGGAACGCGGGUUUUUUAAGCAGUGGGUUGCUUUGGUCACCAGUUCCCUGGUCCCUUCUUUUGUCUUCUGGGGGCCUGGCCAUGGCUGUUGUUUUCAGCUCCUGCAGGUAAGCAUCUUCAUUUCUCUGGGAUGACUCCAUAUGGUGACGAUGGGACUUGUUUAUAGGCCACGAUGCUGUAAGAAUUGACCAUAGAGAAUUACAAGAGAACAGCUGGAAUGGGGUAAAGGUGAAACUGCCCUCACAGGGUUAAUGAGAAUUACAAGGCAGGCUUUAGGCAAAAUCAUAAGUAGGCAUUGACCAAGGUGUGCUGGUGCACUGUGACCCACCUCCCUGCAGCUGCUAGCUAAAAGGAGCAUGUUGACCACUUGCUUCCCCAUUGUUCCUUUAGAUAGAAUCUCUGGGGAUCGGGCAUGGUGGCUCACACCUGUAAUCCCAGCAGUUUGGGAGGUUGAGGCAGGUGGAUCACCUGAAGUCAGGAGUUCGAGACUAGCCUGGCCAACCUGGUGAAACCCCGACUCUACUAAAAAUACAAAAAUUAGGUGGGCAUGGUGGCAGGUGCCUGUAAUCCCAGCUACUUGGGAUGCUGAGGCAGGAGAAUCACUUGAACCCAGGAGGCGGAGGUUUCAGUGAGCCAAGAUCGUGCCAUUGCACUCCAGCCUGGGUGACAGACUGAGACUCUGUCUAAAAAAAAAAAAAAAAAAAAAAAAAAAAUCUCUGAUACUGGACCUUUUUACUUAAGAAUUGCUUAAGGUGUUUUUCAUAUCCUGAAUUCCAGCAGAAUGGCUGGUGCCAACCAGCCUGAAGACCCUCACCAAGGAACCAACUCAGCACAGGGCUGGCAAGUGGAGAGUGAAGACUUGGAAGCAGCCAGCACAGGGCCACAUGACCACAUGACCCUUGACCCCUGCUGUGAACCACUACAGCACAGCCACAAGGCAAUGGCCAGCAUCUGACUUCAUGGGUGGCCCCAGGCAGCUCUGGGGUGUGGGCGGUCAGCAGUCCUGACUUAUUAGUCAGUGUAAGUCAGCACUCUGAGAGAUGCUACACCCUCUGACAGGGCAUGCAUUCAUUAAACAAAUUCUUUUUG
RNAcentral lists this small RNA (4090 nucleotides) under Pongo abelii (Sumatran orangutan). Its description in RNAcentral is "processed transcript". The record is from RNAcentral. Lineage: Eukaryota; Metazoa; Chordata; Mammalia; Primates; Hominidae.